Molecule: ribosomal RNA, 484 nt
Filed under: uncultured bacterium
Lineage: Bacteria
Description: partial 16S ribosomal RNA
Rfam family: Bacterial small subunit ribosomal RNA
Source: RNAcentral
AUUGAACGCUGGCGGCAGGCCUAACACAUGCAAGUCGAGCGGAUGAAGGGAGCUUGCUCCUGGAUUCAGCGGCGGACGGGUGAGUAAUGCCUAGGAAUCUGCCUGGUAGUGGGGGAUAACGUCCGGAAACGGGCGCUAAUACCGCAUACGUCCUGAGGGAGAAAGUGGGGGAUCUUCGGACCUCACGCUAUCAGAUGAGCCUAGGUCGGAUUAGCUAGUUGGUGGGGUAAAGGCCUACCAAGGCGACGAUCCGUAACUGGUCUGAGAGGAUGAUCAGUCACACUGGAACUGGGACACGGUCCAGACUCCUACGGGAGGCAGCAGUGGGGAAUAUUGGACAAAGGGCGAAAGCCUGAUCCAGCCAUGCCGCGUGUGUGAAGAAGGUCUUCGGAUUGUAAAGCACUUUAAGUUGGGAGGAAGGGCAGUAAGUUAAUACCUUGCUGUUUUGACGCUACCAACAGAAUAAGCACCGGCUAACUUCGUG